AUUGAACGCUGGCGGCAGGCCUAACACAUGCAAGUCGAACGAGGGGCGGACGGGUGAGUAAUGUCUGUGAAACUGCCUGAUGGAGGGGGAUAACUACUGGAACCGGUAGCUAAUCCCGCAUACCAUCAGAUGUUCCCAGAUGUGAUUAGCUAGUGGGUGGGGUAACGGCGCACCAAGGCGACGAUCCCUGGCUGGUCUGAGAGGAUGACCGGCCACACUGGAACUGAGCCACAGUCCCGACUCCGACGGGAGGCAGCAGGGUGGAAUCUUGCACAAUGGGCGCAAGCCUGAGGCGGCCAUGCCGCGUGUAGGAAGAAGGCCUUCGGGUUGUAAAGUCCUUUCAGCGGGGAGGCGUUACCCGCAGAAGAAGCACCGGCUAACUCCGUGCCAGCAGCCGCGGUAAUUC
This 406-nucleotide ribosomal RNA is filed under the name uncultured bacterium. RNAcentral's name for it is "partial 16S ribosomal RNA". It matches the Rfam family "Bacterial small subunit ribosomal RNA", at positions 30 to 526 of the family's 1533-position model. The record is from RNAcentral.